Molecule: ribosomal RNA, 426 nt
Filed under: uncultured bacterium
Lineage: Bacteria
Description: partial 16S ribosomal RNA
Rfam family: Bacterial small subunit ribosomal RNA
Source: RNAcentral
GUGAGGAAUUUUCCGCAAUGGGCGAAAGCCUGACGGAGCAAUGCCGCGUGAAGGAUGAAGGCCUAUGGGUUGUAAACUUCUUUUCUCAGAAAAGAAUUAUGACGGUAUCUGAGGAAUAAGCAUCGGCUAACUCUGUGCCAGCAGCCGCGGUAAGACAGAGGAUGCAAGCGUUAUCCGGAAUGAUUGGGCGUAAAGCGUCUGUAGGUUGUUUAAAAAGUAUUCUGUCAAAGAUUAGGGCUUAACCCUAGAUAGGCAGAAUAAACUUUUAAGCUAGAGUUUGGUAGAGGCAGAGGGAAGUCACGGUGGAGCGGUGAAAUGCGUAGAUAUCGGGAGGAACACCAAAGGCGAAGGCACUCUGCUGGGCCAAUACUAACACUGAGAGACGAAAGAGAGGGGAGCAAAUGAGAUUAGAAACCCCUGUAGUCC